This 385-nucleotide ribosomal RNA is filed under the name uncultured bacterium. RNAcentral describes it as "bacterial SSU rRNA". It matches the Rfam family "Bacterial small subunit ribosomal RNA", at positions 29 to 417 of the family's 1533-position model. The record is from RNAcentral.
AUUGAACGCUGGCGGCAUGCUUUACACAUGCAAGUCGAACGGUAACAGGCCGCAAGGUGCUGACGAGUGGCGAACGGGUGAGUAAUGCAUCGGAACGUGCCCAGUCGUGGGGGAUAACGCAGCGAAAGCUGUGCUAAUACCGCAUACGAUCUAUGGAUGAAANCGGGGGACCUAAGGCCUCGCGCGAUUGGAGCGGCCGAUGUCAGAUUAGGUAGUUGGUGGGGUAAAGGCCCACCAAGCCAACGAUCUGUAGCUGGUCUGAGAGGACGACCAGCCACACUGGGACUGAGACACGGCCCAGACUCCUACGGGAGGCAGCAGUGGGGAAUUUUGGACAAUGGGCGCAAGCCUGAUCCAGCAAUGCCGCGUGACAGGAAGAAGGCCU